This 497-nucleotide ribosomal RNA is filed under the name uncultured bacterium. RNAcentral's name for it is "partial 16S ribosomal RNA". It matches the Rfam family "Bacterial small subunit ribosomal RNA", at positions 28 to 507 of the family's 1533-position model. The record is from RNAcentral.
GGCGAACGCUGGCGGCGUGCCUAAUACAUGCAAGUUGAGCGCUGAAGGUUUGUACUUGUGCCGACUGGAUGAGCAGCGAACGGGUGAGUAACGCGUGGGGAAGCUGCCUUUGAGCGGGGGACAACAUUUGGAAACGAAUGCUAAUACCGCAUAAAAACUUUAAACACAGGUUUUAAGUUUGAAAGAUGCAAUUGCAUCACUCAAAGAUGAUCCCGCGUUGGAUUAGCUAGUUGGUGAGGUAAAGGCUCACCAAGGCGAUGAUACAUAGCCGACCUGAGAGGGUGAUCGGCCACAUUGGGACUGAGACACGGCCCAAACUCCUACGGGAGGCAGCAGUAGGGAAUCUUCGGAAAUGGACGAAAGUCUGAACGAGCAACGCCGCGGGAGUGAAGAAGGGUUUCGGAUCGUAAAACUCUGUUGGUAGAGAAGAAAGUUGGUGAGAGUGGAAAGCUCAUCAAGUGACGGUAACUACACAGAAAGGGACGGCUAACUACGUG